AUUGAACGCUGGCGGCAUGCCUUACACAUGCAAGUCGAACGGCAGCACGGGGGCAACCCUGGUGGCGAGUGGCGAACGGGUGAGUAAUAUAUCGGAACGUACCCUGGAGUGGGGGAUAACGUAGCGAAGGUUACGCUAAUACCGCAUACGAUCUAAGGAUGAAAGUGGGGGAUCGCAAGACCUCAUGCUCCCGGAGCGGCCGAUAUCUGAUUAGCUAGUUGGUGGGGUAAAGGCCUACCAAGGCAUCGAUCAGUAGCUGGUCUGAGAGGACGACCAGCCACACUGGGACUGAGACACGGCCCAGACUCCUACGGGAGGCAGCAGUGGGGAAUUUUGGACAAUGGGGGGCAACCCUGAUCCAGCAAUGCCGCGUGAGUGAAGAAGGCCUCGGUUGUAAGACUCUUUGUUCUAGGGAAGAAACGGUUAGGGGCGUAAGUAU
This 439-nucleotide ribosomal RNA is filed under the name uncultured bacterium. Its description in RNAcentral is "bacterial SSU rRNA". It matches the Rfam family "Bacterial small subunit ribosomal RNA", at positions 30 to 469 of the family's 1533-position model. The record is from RNAcentral.